RNAcentral lists this ribosomal RNA (439 nucleotides) under uncultured bacterium. RNAcentral describes it as "partial 16S ribosomal RNA". It matches the Rfam family "Bacterial small subunit ribosomal RNA", at positions 339 to 795 of the family's 1533-position model. The record is from RNAcentral.
CUACGGGCUGCUGCAGUGGGGAAUUUUGGACAAUGGAGGAAACUCUGAUCCAGGGAUACCGCGUGGGUGAUGAAGAUUUACGGAUUGUAAAGCCCUUUUAGUAGGGAAAAUAAUGAUGGUACCUACAGAAAAAGCAUCAGCUAACUCUGUGCCAGCAGCUGCGGUAAUACAGAGGAUGCGAGUGUUAUUCGGAAUCACUGGGCGUAAAGGGCGCGUAGGCGGUUAUUUAAGUCCGCAAUGAAAUACCGGGGCUCAACUUCGGUGCUGUUGUGGAUACUGUUUAACUAGAGAACGGAAGAGGUGAGUAGAAUUCCUGGUGGAGAGGUGAAAUUCUUAGAUAUCAGGAGGAAUGCCAGAGGCGAAAGCGGUUCACUGGGACGUUUCUGACGCUGAGGCGCGAAAGCGUGGGGAUCAAACAGGAUUAGAUACCCGGGUAGUC